UUUUAUCCCCAUAAUAAUAUAUUUUAUAACUUCUGUUUAGAAUAUUGGCAGAUAAUAAAACUUGAUUGCCUGAUUUUCAAUUUAAACACUUAUCAAUCAAAUACAUAAGUACUUGUUCAGGGUAGAGAAAAGUUAAUACUUUAUAUUAUCUAUGUAACUCUGAAAGACAAGAAAGUUUCUGUACAUUUACGGACUACAAAUAUAGAAGUUAAAGGAAAUGCCUUCUAGCUGGCGUAAUCUUAGGAAAAAAAGCAGACUGAAGUAUUAUAAAUUGUUAGCAGAAGAUGUGUAAAGAUAUGAUCACCUAGAUAAUAUAAAUCAAUUUUCUAUUCUUGUGCUGAAGCCUAGACCCCACACGGCAGCCUGAUGUAAUUCCAUUAACAUGCUUAAUUACUUGGCACUUGUAUAGCCUUUUUAUUUUUACUGUUAUCCUGGUAAAUCAUUCAGAAGAAAUAAAUUAGCUUGCCACUCAAAAUUAACUACUAUGGUGCAUUGCUGCCCCACCCCCCAAAAGAUGAGUUGACAGCUACUGGGCGUUAAUCUAGCCAUUUUUUGAUAACAGAGUAUCUCUUUGCGCAUAGUUAUGAUGAGAGGUAUAAACAUUCCAAAUGUAAUUAUCUCAGUCCUUUACAACUUGAAAGUCUAAUUAAAGAAAGUUUAAGACACUAUAAAUCUUAAGGAAUUAGGUUUACGAUGUGGAACCCAGUCAGUCAGAGCUUGGGAUUACAUUGGAAAGUGAGUAUAUUGAAAAGGAUUGCAGAAACAUUUCUCUCAGCCAGAAUUUAAUUGCUCAGAAAACUGAAUUUCAGUAAAGUAGAUGAAAAGUGGUAGGCAGAGAGACUCAGACCUAUGACUGCUGAAGAAAGAGCUAAUUCCAUGUCCCUUUUUCUAGAUGCCCUGUAAUACACUUGUGUCAGUGAUAAAUGCUGCUUUGCUGUGCUACACCGAGUACAAGGUAGUGAUAAGACAUGACUGGGAAGCAGUUACCAGAGACAAGCAAGGAUAGGGCUUUGAAUGCAUCCUCUGCUGGUGGCUUCUGUAGUUAUGCAUAAAAUUUACUCUGACCUGUUUACUUUUAUAGCCUGUCUUUACUUUGUUUCUUUUAAUAUUAUACAUGUUUAGGCUAUGCUUUUUCUUUAAAUAUGUGAGCAAAUCUAUUGGUGUAAUGUACUCAUUACCCUAAAACCUAUAUUAUAAUGGACCCGAAUACCAUAAGGUAGAAGAUCAGAAGAAAAAGAAAAUGCAUACAUUUUUAUCUUUAAAACAAUUCACUUUUAAGAUUAUUUUCUUGAAAGGUAUACGUUUGAUGGAGCUGAAUCUAGUUCCUUCAGGCAGAUAUAAUAGGAUACAAUAGGAUAGGACUUCUUGGGUAAAAAAGGUGUAGUAAUCUGUGAGACUCAUGGGAAGGAGAAAGGAAAUUAUUAAUUAAUUUGGCUGAGGCCAGGGUAGUAAGCAGAUUCAUUAUAAAUUCUGGCAGCAGAGGAAUACUUGAGAAAUGCUUAUAAAGUUAGAUCAUCUAUUUUUCCAAGCAAAUUCUUCAUGUCAUUCCACCUUGUAAAAACUUUGUGGAAAAGAAUAAGCACAUGAAUGAGCAAUGAAUAGACUUUGCAUUAGAUUGGUAAUCUUGCUACUAGUACAUUAAUUUACUUGUAUUACUGAUAUUUUAAGAUAGGAUUUUUACAGAUGUUUAUAUAUUUUUUAAAAGCCUAUUUUUUUCUUUACCCAUUUUCUCAAUUUUUUUAACCUCGAAAACUUUUUCCUCCCUGAGAGAAAUACAUGGGCUAUCUUCAGCAUAGAACACAAACUCUGCCUUCUUUUCUCAAGUCCAGUGAUUCAAGUUUGACACACCACACCACGGUGGAUGUGCCUUGUCAUGACACAUCUCAGCAGCACUAGAAGAUACAUCCAAAGUCCUGUGAGCAAGGUCUGUGGUAUCUGUUUAUUAUGGCAGCCCAGUAAGACUAAGACAGGCCAUCACAAGACGUGAACGUUUUGGACCUUCUCUUGGGCCCUAGUAAACAGAAAUCAGAAGGAAGAAAACUUUGCUAAUGCUCUGCCAAGCCUCACUUUUCUCUCAUGAUUAGAAGGUUUGAUGUUAUCCAGAAUUACUCAUGGAAGAUGGAAGAGCUGCAGCAUUACAAUGAAAGCCAUCUUACAACAGCCUGAGCUAUUUAUUAAACUAAUCCACGUUCUGAACAGUUAUUGCUACUGGAAACCAGUCCCGAUCCAGACCACAAAAGACGAUUCUUGGAUCUUGCACAAGAAAGAAAGGCAUGAGGCCCUCACCAGAUACAGCCACCUGAUCUUGGACUUCACAGCCUCCAGAAAUAUGCCCUGGAAUACACUUGUGUCAGUGACAAAUGCUGCUUUGCUGUGCUACAUCGAGUACAAGAGAAAUACAUGGGCUAUCUUCAGCACAGAACACAAACUCUGCCUUCUUUUCUCAAGUCCAGUGAUUCAAGUUUGACACACCACACCACGGUGGAUGUGCCUUGUCAUGACACAUCUUCUCAGCAGCACUAGAAGAUACAUCCAAAGUCCUGUGAGCAAGGACACAGCGAGAAGAUGGCUGUCUACAAGCCAGGAAGAGAGUCCUCACCAGAACCAAACCCUGCUGGACUUUGAUCUUGGACUUCCCAGCCUCUAAAACUGUGAAGACAUAAAUUUCUGUUGUUAAACCCACACAGGUCUGUGGUAUCUGUUUAUUAUGGCAGCCCAGUAAGACUAAGACAGGCCAUCACAAGACAUGAAUGUUUUGGACCUUCUCUUGGGCCCUAGUAAACAGAAAUCAGGUACGCAAAAGGGGUAAGCAUAUAAUUUCCUUUAUUUUUAUUUUUAAUGUGUAAGCCUUAGGUUUUUAUUUAUUUAUUUGGUGAAGACAAUCACAUUGUGUACGUACAAUGUAAUUAUAUUGUUGACGAGAAGUUACUUAAAAUUUUUUAAAAAUUCUAAUCGAUUUCUAGAUGUCCAAAUGAGAAGAUAGCAUUUAUAUACCAUCAGAACAUAAAAUAAUUCAAAAAAAUAAAUUUAUAAAACAAUAUGUAUUAUAUUGAGAGAAAGAGAGGGAGAGAGUAUUGGAAGAAUAUAUGCAAAUACAAUGUGAUAAUGUGAUGUCUUUGUGAGAAUGCUAUAUGUCAUUUUCUUUGUUUAUAUGAAUUUUUACAAUUUUUACCUUUGAAAUAUAAAAAAGAGAGAAUAAAAGUCAUUGAAAAAAUCAAAAGUAACUAUUUUCAUAGGUGAGUAAGUAUACAUCUUUAACAGAAC
This 3264-nucleotide long non-coding RNA is filed under the name Homo sapiens (human). RNAcentral describes it as "HSALNT0078785". The record is from RNAcentral. Lineage: Eukaryota; Metazoa; Chordata; Mammalia; Primates; Hominidae.